AGUGAACGCUGGCGGUAGGCCUAACACAUGCAAGUCGAACGGCAGCACAGUAAGAGCUUGCUCUUACGGGUGGCGAGUGGCGGACGGGUGAGGAAUACAUCGGAAUCUACUUUUUCGUGGGGGAUAACGUAGGGAAACUUACGCUAAUACCGCAUACGACCUACGGGUGAAAGCAGGGGAUCUUCGGACCUUGCGCGAUUGAAUGAGCCGAUGUCGGAUUAGCUAGUUGGCGGGGUAAAGGCCCACCAAGGCGACGAUCCGUAGCUGGUCUGAGAGGAUGAUCAGCCACACUGAAACUGAGACACGGUCCAGACCCCUAGGGGAGGCAGCAGUGGGGAAAAUUGGACAAUGGGGGAAAGCCUGAUCCAGCCAUACCGCGUGGGUGAAGAAGGCCUUCGGGUUGUAAAGCCCUUUUGUUGGGAAAGAAAAGCAGCAGGUUAAUCCCCCGCUGUUCUGACGGUACCAAAAGAAUAAGCACCGGCUAACUUCGC
RNAcentral lists this ribosomal RNA (491 nucleotides) under uncultured bacterium. RNAcentral's name for it is "partial 16S ribosomal RNA". It matches the Rfam family "Bacterial small subunit ribosomal RNA", at positions 29 to 506 of the family's 1533-position model. The record is from RNAcentral.